Molecule: unclassified non-coding RNA, 316 nt
Filed under: plant metagenome
Description: partial contains 5.8S ribosomal RNA, internal transcribed spacer 2, and large subunit ribosomal RNA
Rfam family: 5.8S ribosomal RNA (bases 1-105)
Source: RNAcentral
GAACUGCGAUAAGUAAUGUGAAUUGCAGAAUUCAGUGAAUCAUCGAGUCUUUGAACGCACAUUUCGCCCCCUGGCAUUCCGGGGGGCAUGCCUGUCCGAGCGUCAUUGCUGCCCUUCAAGCCCGGCUUGUGUGUUGGGUCGUCGUCCCCCUCGGGGGACGGGCCCGAAAGGCAGCGGCGGCACCGUGUCCGGUCCUCGAGCGUAUGGGGCUUUGUCACCCGCUCGAUUAGGGCCGGCCGGGCGCCAGCCGGCGUCUCCAACCUUAUUUUUCUCAGGUUGACCUCGGAUCAGGUAGGGAUACCCGCUGAACUUAAGC